GACGAACGCUGGCGGCGUGCUUAACACAUGCAAGUCGAACGGAAAGGCCCUGCUUUUGUGGGGUGCUCGAGUGGCGAACGGGUGAGUAACACGUGAGUAACCUGCCCUUAACUUUGGGAUAACUUCAGGAAACUGGGGCUAAUACCGGAUAGGAGCUCCUGCUGCAUGGUGGGGGUUGGAAAGUUUCGGCGGUUGGGGAUGGACUCGCGGCUUAUCAGCUUGUUGGUGGGGUAGUGGCUUACCAAGGCUUUGACGGGUAGCCGGCCUGAGAGGGUGACCGGCCACAUUGGGACUGGGAUACGGCCCAGACUCCUACGGGAGGCAGCAGUGGGGAAUAUUGCACAAUGGGCGGAAGCCUGAUGCAGCAACGCCGCGUGCGGGAUGACGGCCUUCGGGUUGUAAACCGCUUUCGCCUGUGACGAAGCGUGAGUGACGGUAAUGGGUAAAGAAGCACCGGCUAACUACGUG
Molecule: ribosomal RNA, 468 nt
Filed under: uncultured bacterium
Lineage: Bacteria
Description: partial 16S ribosomal RNA
Rfam family: Bacterial small subunit ribosomal RNA
Source: RNAcentral